AGUGAACGCUGGCGGUAGGCCUAACACAUGCAAGUCGAACGGCAGCACAGUAAGAGCUUGCUCUUACGGGUGGCGAGUGGCGGACGGGUGAGGAAUACAUCGGAAUCUACUUUUUCGUGGGGGAUAACGUAGGGAAACUUACGCUCAUACCGCAUACGACCUACGGGUGAAGGCAGGGGAUCUUCGGACCUUGCGCGAUUGAAUGAGCCGAUGUCGGAUUAGCUAGUUGGCGGGGUAAAGGCCCACCAAGGCGACGAUCCGUAGCUGGUCUGAGAGGAUGAUCAGCCACACUGGAACUGAGACACGGUCCAGACUCCUACGGGAGGCAGCAGUGGGGAAUAUUGGACAAUGGGCGCAAGCCUGAUCCAGCCAUACCGCGUGGGUGAAGAAGGCCUUCGGGUUGUAAAGCCCUUUUGUUGGGAAAGAAAAGCAGCAGGUUAAUACCCCGCUGUUCUGACGGUACCCAAAGAAUAAGCACCGGCUAACUUCGUG
This 492-nucleotide ribosomal RNA is filed under the name uncultured bacterium. RNAcentral describes it as "partial 16S ribosomal RNA". It matches the Rfam family "Bacterial small subunit ribosomal RNA", at positions 29 to 507 of the family's 1533-position model. The record is from RNAcentral.